AGACGUACGCUUUGGCUGUUUCAUUCAAAUCUGUAAGAUAGAAAAAAAAUGGUAAUUAGAAUUAGACUUGAUAAAAUGCUUUGCACAUUAACUACUAAUAAAACGGCAUGCAAAUUGAAUAAAAAUGCAUAUUAACAGAAUUAAAUGUUCCCUGAGUUUCAAUAAAGUACCUCACAUCACAUACCGUCACCAAAAUAUAAUAUAAAAUCAACUGGAUAUUUAAAAAUUUUGUAAUUAGUUAUAUGGGAGCUAGAGCAAGUUUUUACCCGUAUAUGCUGUAUAAAGUCACCCGAAAGUUCGAAAAUCUUUAUACUAGGAAUAUUUCAUGUUUUUUUUUGUCAUUCAGACAUACUAUAAGGAAAGCAAUUUCUUCGAAUUUCAAUUAUAUACUCCUCACAUUAGGCCUUGGGGUCCACAUAUUCCUAUACCUAGGGGCUUGAACAGUUUUGGUUCGAUUUGAACAAUCUUUGUUUAUGAGGUGGCACACUUUAAAGCGACUAUUCGUGCAAAGUUUUAUUAAUUGGUGCUUUAUUUAUAUACUGGAAUGUGAAAGAAUUUUAAAUUGAUUUAUAUACGUAGUACUGUAAAUAUUUAUAAUAAUUUUGUUUAAUGCUAAGUUACCGAGCUUAGAAAUACUAAGCUAUAUCGCUAAAAUUGAAUUUUUACUUAUCGUAAAUAUCGAUUUAUUCACAUAUGAAUUUUGGAACUUAUUUUAGUUAGAUAAGUACAACCAGAAAUUGUAUAUCAAAAACGCUGAAAUAAUUUAGAGAAACUAGAUUUAGACGAUAUACUCAUUUUAUUUUAAAAUUAAUCGAAUUGAAACUAAAUAUUUAACUCAGUUGACGGCAUAAACAAAAAUUGUAAGUAUCCUAAAUGUAUGCUUCGAUUUGAAUGUGAUAUUUCAGUGUAGGAGUGUUAGUAUUAACUUAGAACAAAUUAUUGUGCAUAUAUAUUUUUGUAUGUAAUAAUAUUCUAGGCAUUUCUUUAAAUUUCGGUUGCAUAGAUACAUAUAUACUAUGCACUUUGAUGAGUACUUAUAUACUAUAUAUACAUAUAUAAUCUUGCUAUAUAUAAAUAAUACACACCAUAAAUAUCGAUUUGUUUCCACAUUUGUAUUUACAUCAAUAACAGUUGAAGACACUUGUUGCUCAUGUAAACCGCACAUAGGCCGGGACAAGUGCAAUAUUAGCUUAAAAUACAAUAUAAAACAUUGUCACUUUCCCGCCCUGCGUGCAAUUCCAUGAUACCUCGAUGCGUGUAUACUUAAUGAAACGGAAUAUUUAAUGUCUCCGUUGAGUGUAAGCUUCUUCCUUAAGCUACAGCUGCAGACAUAUUUAUACCCUGAACAGAAUAUAUUAAAUUCGUCAUUAAAUUUGUAACACACAGAAGAAAACGUCGGAGACCCUAUAAAAUAUAUGUCCGCCUGUCUGUAUAUACGCAACUAGUCCUUAAGUUUCCGAGAUAUCGAACUGGAAAUUCACACGUCCUUUUCUAUACAAGAAGCUGCUCAUUUGUUCACUAUAGUAUAUAGCUGCCAUACCAACUGAACGAUCAAGGUCAAGUUCUUGUAUGGCAAACUUUUUUAUUUGACGAAAUUUGACAUGUAUUAUUGUACAAAAGAACACUACAAAACCUCCGAAGAAAUUGUUCAGAUCGGGUCACUAUAGCAUUUAGCUGCCAUACCAACUGAACGAUCAAAAUUUAGUUCUUGUAUGAAAACUUUCUUUAUUUGUGAAGGGUAUUAUAGCGUCGAUGCAACCGAAGUUAACGUUCUUCUUGUUUUAUAUGCCUUUAAUGCACAUUUCAGUGCAUAAUUAUCAUUUUGUGUAUAAAUAAAAUGCAUAUAUUGUUUUCGAACAAUUUCGAAUGAGUACAAGAAAAUCUAGUUCUCAUUUUUCAUUUAAAAAAAUCUGAUUGCCGCAUAAGUAUUGAAUUUCCGCCUUCGCAUAUGUACUUGUAUUUAUGCAUGUACGUGCGUUGAGCAUCCUUUGCAGCACAAUGAAAAUACAACAAAAACAAAAUGCAUGUAUCCUGCCAGACUGCGCUCGUGCAUUCUUCCACCUCCGCUGUUAACGGUAAGAUAAUGUGCCAACGCCAAUUGAGUUCCUCACAUACCAUCUACACAUAGAACUUAUGCAGACAAAUAGCUUCAACAAGUGAACCAUUAAAAUCCUAUAUAAUAAACCACAUACAAAGACACAAAAAAUUUGGCUCUAUGUCUGGCAUAAAAAUUUGGCAAGGUAGUAAGUAACACUAUGUGGUCUGAGUCGGCGGUAACGUCUCCUCCUCCUCCACCACGCCCUUCUCAUUUUUACGCUUAUUUCGGCUUGUUGCACACUUGCCAUGUACAUACAUAUUUAAAUGUUUAUGUAUACACUAGUAGCUGUGCAUAUGUUUGUUCUGCUCCUUCCACGGUGUCUGUCUCUUCGAUCCCAUCGAUUUUUUGCACAUUUUACCUUGACGAUUACCUCCUUCAGCGAAGGACUGUUCAUCUUCAAUAUCUGCACACACAAGUGAACUACAUACAUACAUCUAUAUACAAUAUAUACACAUGUGUGUAGGUGCAUUUGUAUAGCGCUCUUUUAGUUUAGUGCUUUUGCUCUACUCCAGUUGCUGUCUGUUGUCGGCUGUUUAUACCUUUUCGUGCUUCUCAAACAAAUGAUGCGGAAAAUGCUUUUAUUGUCCAAGUAUUAUAUGUCAAUAUGUUCUGUUGUUUUUAUUUUAUUUUGGCGUAUUAAAUAAUGGUACAAGCUGUUGGGUCUACACUUCAGUAGUGCUGGUUACCUGAGAUUGGUCUGAAGGUUCAGCAUGAAACGCACAAAGAAUUUUUUUUUACUUAAAAUGUGCCACUGAAAACGAAGCGGCAUCGAUCAAGCCGAUCUUUGCACACAUACAUACAUCUAGUGUAUGUUCACUGCUGGUUCGUGGUACCACUGCAGGUCGAAAACGUAGUAUACAGCUACCACUCAUACCAUAGUUGCCAUAAGAAAUGCACCUGUGAAGAAUAUUAUAGCUUUUUCAAUGUCUCAAAAGAAAAAAUGAAAAAAAAAAUCCUAAAUAAACAAAAAUGUUCUUUCCUCAAUGAGAUUAUUACAUUUUAUAAGAUUUUUGAGGAAAAAACUUUAUACAUAGAUCCACAAAAAAAGUUAACGAAAAUUAUACUCUUAAAUUUAAAUAAACUUAAUAUAAGUAAUUAAAUAUAUGCGAAGUAGCAAAUCUUCGGUUUACAUACAUAUGCAUGUAUGUAUGUAGAUAGAGAUGGAUAUAUCAACUAACGCAGUAAAAUCUCACACAGCAACCAAAAAUAAACAUAUACAUACAUACAUAUAGGGAUAUUUAUGUAUGUAUUUACAAACCAAAUAAACAAAAGACAACUGAAAUCUAAACUUUUGAAAAGCUUUGCAUUGCGCGGCAUUUCUUCAUGUAAACAAAAUGACAAGAGGCACACAAAUUAAAGCGUUAAAAUACAAAACAUUUUAGUUUAUAGUCAUCCGUUGAGUUUGUGGAAUAAAAGGAAGUUGUCAACAGUGCACAUUUGACGACAGCCCACCACUACAUACUUAUGCAUAUACCAUUUUACAAGUAAAGCAAAUUUCGAAUUUUAACUGCGAUGAGCCACGAAUACUCCCAACGAAGCAGUUAAACAAUUCUAAGAAAUAAUGAUAUCCAAUCGUAAAUUGAUCAUCAAUCCGGCGCUGGAGCUGAGCUGAAGAAGUAAUCUGAUAAUAAGAUGAAAAAAAAACAAAACAAAGAAGUAAAACACAGAAAUUUGUAGGAUAAAAGGGCUGACACCGCGUCAAAGUGUUUAAUGAAAAGAAAAAGUACGUAAACUAAAACACGGGUAUUUUUUAUAAUGAUGCCAGCCAGAAGUGGUCAAUCGAACAAGCAACUAACGUUAAUAUGUAGAAUAACUUACAACAAAUAGGUAAAGAUUAGAAGGAUUCAUCAUUGAUGACAUAUCCAUCAGAGGGUUGGUAUUGAAAUCACCUGGACUACUGUGUUAUUGCUUUUGUUUUAUAUUUUACAUUAAGAGAGCUAAGUUGAAACAGCGCGAGCAGAAAAGUGACGAACCGAAAACGGCGUAUUGUAUUUAUAUUUCUUAUGCAACAAAUCAUAAAAAUCGUUAUCAAAGGUUUGUAAACAAUUUUGGUACUUAAAAUUAGGGGACUACAGGUAAAUACAUUUUUGGCACGCGUACAUGUGUAUGUACGUACAACAAAAGUGCUUGAGUGUAGUUUUAUCAGUGUUUUUCUACCCAAAGGCGUUGCAGCUGACGAUAUGAGGAAGCGUCUAAGGUAAAUAAUUGACGUGCGACAAUAUUAAGAUAAAGAUACAUACAAAUCUAACUACGCACAUAUAUACAUAAGUAUAUAUUCCAAAAAGUUAAUAUCGUUUCUCGGCAGAAUAUUAAUAUGCGUGUAGUGCUUAAGGUAAUAUACGAUAGAUAGCACACUAACUAUAAGAUUUUGAGCAAAGAUAUUACGAAAUAAUUAUUAGUAAAAACUAAUGUAAUAUUUAUACAAAAGAAUAACUUAUAUUCAUUUAAAUUUAAAAUAUUUCAGUAUUUUUAUCUUUCAAUAAAAAAAGUAAUUCUAUCAUAUGUACAAUCUAUUAACAGUUAUUAUAGCCAUUUGCGCAAAGUUUAUAUUCUCUCUCUCUGCAAAUAACCGUUUAAAUUUGAAUGAAUGACUUAACCCUCAAUUUUUGCGCUAUGUAAUGGAAUACAAAAUAUAAAAACCAUAUUCAAAAAGUCUUUCAGUUAUACUUUUUAGAAGUUAGAAUAUUGUAAUAUUGAACGUAUGUAUUUCCAUUUUGUAAAAUGUGAAACUAAUUUAUUUUUUUUGUUGUUUUCUUCAAAACUUAUUUAAAAGUUCGAAAAUAAAAAUUAAUUUUGCAAAUAAACGGUAUUCAUUAAAAAUUUAUAAAACUAAAAAGUCCCACUUGAACAAAUUAAGUUAUAUUUUUCCAGCUGAAAUGCAACAUAAAUACAAAACCGCAAAAAAGAAAAUCAAUUUUUUACAUUUCACUAAUAAAACAAUUUUUUUAUCAUUGCAAUAUAUGUACACAACUGCAUACAUACAAAUGGUAUUUAACACCUGAGUUAAAUUUAUGUUUGUAUCAUAAAUAUUAAUAUUAAAAAAAAAUAAAAAAUACACAAAUAAAAACAAUAGAAUAUAGUAAAAAUUAAUUAAAAAUAAGUAAAAUAUAAUAAACUGUAAAGUAAAAAUAAAAUAUUAAACAAAAAAAAUAGCUAACAAACUAGCAAUUGUUACGGUCUUAAUUUUUUCAAUAGAGAAUAAAUAAAGUUAUGCCAUAAUUACCACAUCCAAUAUAAAAAAGAAUGAUUACAUGUAUCACAAAACAAAAGCACAAUCAUUAGGAAUCAAGGAACUCUUGCGAUGCACAGAGAAAAUAUCAAACAGCCAAACAAAAGCACUAUGAAAAAACUCGAUUGCCAAAGCACACUCGUGCUCCACUACACCACUUCGGUGAUGGCAAUGACAGCGCCGGACAACAACGAUAAUAGUAAUAGCAUGGUGAUACUACAAAAAUAAAAAUCGAUGAUGCAAUCGCAACUAGACAAUCGAGAAAACCCGCUCGACGGUGGUACAACGCCACUGUGGGACAACACACGCCUCAACAUCACCACAAUAACACAUUAUGCCAUAAUCUUGCUGGUAAAAACUCGUAGGAAUAUGUUAAAUGUGCCCCAGUAAAAGCAACAAGCUGUAACAUAAGCUGUCCAGCAGCGGGACAACAACAACUGAAAAGGUGUAAUCAACUAUUGAUUGUGAACACAACAGCCAGCGAAAAGGAGCAAAAUACACGAUGCCACCACAAUCUAGUUGCAACGCAUGCAUACAUAUGUACGACGAUGGACGAUAAUGGUAACAGCUGCAACAGCUGUGCAGCUGAGGCAAAAACUAGAGGCGAGAACCGGCCUUGCAGCAGCAGCAGCAAAUCGGUGGCUGCUCGGACAAAUGUUGCGAGUACAUACAUAUGUUCCUACAUAUAGUGGCCGAGUUAAGUGGGUAGAUAUGGCGUACCAACUGCUGACUGUGCGGAAAACUACAAAUACUGCAGCCAAAGCGAAGUUGUUGCGAAAUUAACGAUUGCUACAAAAUGCAAUACAUGCACACAACUAAAACUGUAACGGUGAUUUCGCUAUAUAUUUUAACAUCCUGUGUGUAGGCCAGACAGUGUGUGAGUGAAUAUACGCCGCCCUCCACUUUCUAGCGCACAUGCACGCGCGCUAACAGCUCUCUAUGGGUGUUUGCCUUCUUCUAUGUAUUCGCGGCAGGAAACCAGUUUUGCACCUUUUCUCUAGUCGCUCUUUCAAUGUUAUGUUGAUAUGGUUCUUUUUUACCGUUCACUGCACCUUUCCGGGUGGUGCAGUAGCGUAGCAUUUGGCCUAGAGACAGUUAUAUGUAAAACAGCAUCAGCAGCAACAACAACAGCUGUAAGACUGCAAAUUUUAACACCAUUAGAGGUGCAGAUAGUUCUUCUCAUGUGUAGCAAGGAGUGUUGCGCGUUUUUGCGCAUGCGUGGCACAUUGGCAUGCUAGCUAUAAUAGCCACCUAGUUGCUCCGUUGGUUGGUUGCUUGCUUAUCUGUAACUGCGCUCCAUUUUUCGCUUCCUUCUUUCAAAUAUGCUACACACAUCUACAUGCAACUACAAUAUUUAGAGGCUGUCUGGCACUGUUCGAGAUUUUGCUGCACCUCCUUCGAACAAUAAAAUGUAACUGUAAAGUAAAAUGAAAUGAAUAUGCCUUUUCACUAAUUUACCACAAAUCUCGCAUUGAGCGGUGCACAAAUGCAUGCACACAUUCAUACAUACACAUUAGAAUGUAUAUGAUGCGAAUGAGUGGCUAUGGCGAAAUGUAAUUAAGUCAGUCUUUACAAAUACACUGAUACAGAUAUAUGAAGUGCACUUCAUAUUUUCUAUAGGUAAUAUCAUUCCAAAAAUAUAUUAAACUUAUAUCUUUGGACCCGCACCAGGUACUUCAAGAAAUAUUAGUUAUCGCUUAGUUGUGAUUCCUUCGACUCUCUAUCUGUCUACAGCAAGUCGAGACCUUUCUUUUUAACUAUGAUAUAUUUGUGAUGGUUGUUGAUCGCGUACCAGGUUUAUAGAUCACGGUUUUUAACAAGGGUCUAGCCAUCUCGGCAACGAAAGAAAUAUUAAAGGCGCUCUUCAAAAGACAGCUGCAAUGCCGAUGAGCUAGUCAGAGGAGACAUCCUUGCCACGCUCACAUCGGCAUCGGAUAGAUCUGCUGUCUAGCACUGGACCAAUGGUCUUCGCAUACGUGUAGCAGGUGCUGGUCGACGACAAAAUCCUGUGCGACUCCGAGAUCCUUUUGGCCUAGAUUAGAAGACGCUGGUUAUCUAUUGAACUAUUUGCCAACUAUUUUGCAAAGUUCAUCUUGCCGCAAUUGUAGAAGCUCUUACUGGACACUGUCAAUAGGCAUUAAUGCGGUAAGGCUAAACAUUUUGUCGGACGCUAGUUGUAUGGAGGAGACUGAAGUGAAAACAUCCAGGAACUUUCUCCUCCAUUGUACAACCUUUGAAAGACUGAGGCUGAAACAUCUCGAUAGUCUUACCUUCGGCGAACAAAAAAAGGAGGAGUUUUUAAUUACAACAGACUGACGUUCUAAGCUGUCCUAAGCGAGAUUCCUCGUAGAAUCGAUCUCUUGCUCUAACCUAACCUCCUCAAAAAGAUAUAAAGAUUGUAUCAAAGACUUACAAAGUCACUGUGCUUGGCCGGAUGGGAAGAAUCUUGAGGGAUGAUACAUUUGAAGCGCAAUUGAUGCUGUUUUCGAUGAAUGAUUAUAGCAAAGGUAAAAGCUUUUAUUUAAUUUCAUACAAGAAAAAAAAACAAUACAUAAUUCUAACAGAGCAGAUUUCCGACGUCUUGUUUAUUUGACCAUCAAAAAAUUCAUUUUUGUUUUUUGCUUUUUGGAAUGGCCAGGAUUGUCUUCAAGAUUAUUAGAUAUAAAGGAAUAUGCAGUGGAUCUGUGCAAUACUGGGUAGACAAAGAUAGUAAUUAUUUAAAAACUUACGAUGAAGAGAUGAUUAUUAGUAAUUGUAACGAACUUUUGAACGCUAAAUCGUCCAGAAUACACUGGCUUUAGCAAGUUAUUUUUAGUCUUUUAUGGAAAACCUUAAUAUAUAAUAUAGAAGACUAGUUUUGGAACACAAAAGCAAUGAAAUUGAACCAGUUCGGGAGUAGUGCUUCACAUUGAAGGAGCUUAAGUAACGUACUAGCCCUUGUUGGCGUACUGUAAAAAACCUUGCUUAGCAACAUAAUACAAAAAAUACACGAAUUUCGUAUUGUUGGAAAAAAAAACCGUGGUAAUCUUUUCUUUUAAAGGUACCAAUUAAUGGAAUAAUUUCUCAAGCUUAACUGUGUUGGCCUGCUCCAUUCAUUUAUAAAUCGACAAAUAUGCAGAAAAAAAAAACCUAAAAUUUAAUUCGCGGAAAAAAGGCAAUAAAGCGACGGCACAAACGGACUACCUGCAAAAGCAGCAGCAUAAUCAAUAGCACAGUCUCAUCCAUAUAUUUCAUUAUUGAGUUGAAAAAUUUGAAGAGUUUGGUUUGUAUGCCAAGAUCAGAUCAAACCAUUUACUAAAGGCCACGCACGCAUCAAAUCUAGAGUUUUGAAGGCUUUACCAUGAUCUAAACAUACCGGAGGAAGAAUAAAUAAAUCUUGAUAUAAAAAUAAGCUUACUUAUAAACACACACUCUUCCAUCGUUACUCAUUUCCCCCCACAAUUUAGGUACAUUAAUUUGAGCGUAAAAUGCUUAACAGCGUCAUAGGAAGCCGCCGAGGCAAGCUUUCUGCAAGCAGACAGGGAAAGACCAGUAAAUUCAAUUUGAAGCUAUGAGCCACAGUAAACAGACAAAGUAGUACACAGCAACAAUGUGGUUUAUUGAAGAUAAGCUAAUUAUGUUGGCGCUUAAGUUCAAAUGAAUACAAGAGAGCACAUAUGCACGUGUGUAGAUCGGCAGCGGAUAUGAAAUGACAAUAAUUUUAAAAUUUGAUUUAUUCAUAAGUGAACGACAUUUAAUGAGCUACAAUUAAAACAUUGCACAGUUAUAUCGUUCGUUCAGUAGCUUGUGUGAUUUUUAUACCCUAAACGGGGUAUAUUAAGUUUGCCACAAAGUUUGUAACAACCAAUGAUGAGGCAAGCAGAUUUAGCCAUGUUCGUAUGUGUGUAUGUAUAUACGCGUACUAGCCCUUAGUUUUUUGAGAUAUCGAUCUGAAAUGUUGCAAAUGUCCUUUUCCAAUAAUCUCCUGAAUUGUUGGAACCGCCGAUAUCGCACCACUAUAGCAUAUAGAAAACUAAUAGAUCAAGUCCAAUCCUUGUAUGAAAACUUUUUUGCUUUUUUUGCUUUGCUGUUUUUUUACAAGAUAUCUUCAGGUAAUUUGGCACAUAUUAUUAUCUAAAGGCUGUAUACAGCUGCCAUUCAAACUAAACGAUCAAAAUAGAGAUAAUUAUCUUCAUAAAAGAUAUUUUUUUUUCUUUUUAGGUAAUCUUGGUACCACUUGAAGGUAUUUUAUACCAAACAAUGUAUUCAUCGUCCUCUAUAAUUUCGUUUUUUAACGGUCGUGUUAGACAAAUUUAAUCUUUCAGCAAACUCUCGAGUUGUUAUUCGACGAUUUGCAUCGGCCAACGACUUUCAUUUUAUUUGCAUCGACUUCAAGUCUUCCAGGACGUGGUGCAUCUUCAAUAUCGAAAUUGCCGGAACGAAAUUUUGCAAACCAAUUUUGGCAUUAGCGUUCGGUCAACACAUCUUCUUGGUACACAUCACAUAAUUUCGCCUCGCUUGAACUGCAUUUUUACCCUUUUGAUAAUAAAACUGUAAAAUUUGCCGAAAA
Bactrocera oleae (olive fruit fly) is the source of this 9876-nucleotide non-coding RNA. NCBI's taxonomy places the organism in Eukaryota, Metazoa, Arthropoda, Insecta, Diptera, Tephritidae. The record is from RefSeq and is a predicted model, not a curated record.